This is a long non-coding RNA of Glycine soja, 863 nucleotides long. RefSeq lists it as uncharacterized. The record is from RefSeq and is a predicted model, not a curated record. Lineage: Eukaryota; Viridiplantae; Streptophyta; Magnoliopsida; Fabales; Fabaceae. The transcript is spliced from 4 exons.
AUAAAAUUAAUAAAAGAAAAAAGAAAAAAAAUUAAACACUUUUUUUUCAUUCAAUUUCUCUCUUUUCUAUUUCUUUCCUUUCAGUUUUAUUCUUAAUACUAACAAAACACCCGUUUUUAAUUGGUUGAAUCAUAGGUUUUGGGUGUGGAGCCUCCGCAGAAUAUAACCCUGAAGGAUAUUGGAUUGAAAGUUAUAAGGGGGACUGAGGAUUAAGAGAUUAAUGGAUACUCUGAAGGUGACAAGCGUGAUCACUUCACUUCUUUGCUAAAAGAGGUGAAAGCAUUGUAGAGAGCAGUCCAGGGUAGAGACGUGGCUAGGGAGGAGGGUAGUCCUCCUGUGUUUGUGUUAAUGGGGUGGCAUGGGAUCCGGAAAGAGCACUGUUCUUAAAAACAUUCUUGAUGACAAAUCACUAUUUCGGUCAGACGCUUUAAAUGUUGCUGUGGUUGAGGCAGAUGCUUUGAAGGAAGGAAGCCCACGUCAUAUGUAGAGCCCUUAGCUCCAGAGGGGAGGUGACCCUGAUGACAUGCUCCAAGCUGCCGGAUUGGGGCACGAAUCUUCCACUUCUGCAUCAUCUCUCUGCUAGUGACAGCUUUAAAUGAGGGCCUAGAUGUGAUCUUGGAUACUACCUCAUCAUGGGAACCAUAAUGCUCCUCCAACACCAGAGGUAAAUUUGAACAAUUGUCCCUCUUUGUGCUGAAAUGUUUGAUAUGUGAUGAGUGCUUGCAAUACAGCUUUUGUGGGGGAAUAAAGGUGAUCCCAAUAAAAGCAGUGGACCCUGAAGCUAUCAAAUUCUUGGAAAGGUAAGGCACUUUGAAUGCUGAAGCUGAUUCCAUAUACGAACUUCACAAGGAACCUAGCCCCAA